Molecule: non-coding RNA, 98 nt
Filed under: Pseudomonas sp. SJZ094
Lineage: Bacteria; Pseudomonadati; Pseudomonadota; Gammaproteobacteria; Pseudomonadales; Pseudomonadaceae
Also listed under: 1 other name
Source: RNAcentral
AGUAUCCCUUAGGCGGGUCAGCGCUUCCUGUAAGAAUGCAACCCCAGCCACUAACUGGGGUUGCAAAAAAAAACCGCCUACCAAGGCGGUUUUUUAUU